RNAcentral lists this ribosomal RNA (450 nucleotides) under uncultured bacterium. Its description in RNAcentral is "partial 16S ribosomal RNA". It matches the Rfam family "Bacterial small subunit ribosomal RNA", at positions 354 to 796 of the family's 1533-position model. The record is from RNAcentral.
GUGGGGAAUAUUGGACAAUGGGCGAAAGCCUGAUCCAGCCAUGCCGCGUGUGUGAAGAAGGUCUUCGGAUUGUAAAGCACUUUAAGUUGAGAGGAAGGGCAGUAAGUUAAUACCUUGCUGUUUUGACGUUACCAACAGAAUAAGCACCGGCUAACUUCGUGCCAGCAGCCGCGGUAAUACGAAGGGUGCAAGCGUUAAUCGGAAUUACUGGGCGUAAAGCGCGCGUAGGUGGUUCAGCAAGUUGAAGGUGAAAUCCCCGGGCUCAACCUGGGAACUGCCUCCAAAACUGCAUGACUAAAGUACGGUAGAGGGUAGUGGAAUUUCCUGUGUAGCAGUGAAAUGCGUAGAUAUAGGAAGGAACACCAGUGGCGAAGGCGACUACCUGGACUGAUACUGACACUGAGGUGCGAAAGCGUGGGGAGCAAACAGGAUUAGAUACCCGGGUAGUCC